This is a long non-coding RNA of Siniperca chuatsi (mandarin fish), 1447 nucleotides long. RefSeq lists it as uncharacterized. The record is from RefSeq and is a predicted model, not a curated record. Lineage: Eukaryota; Metazoa; Chordata; Actinopteri; Centrarchiformes; Sinipercidae. The transcript is spliced from 3 exons.
AAAGUUCUUAAAGUCUUAAACUUGUGUUUUCUGUUACUGCCUCUGUCAGUUAUUUCAGAGCAUUUCUUGUGUUUUUCUGCUCCCAAAUGUACCACUACUGUUGACCAACUAGGGGUCUCGACGGAAGCCGUGAAAGCCAAGUGUGGUCCAGGGCCAAUGGAGAAACAGUUGCAGUUAGCAAGACUGGCUGGUGUUGCGCGGUAUUUGGAGACCCAUCAUAUUGUGUGAGCUGCAGUACUAAAGUGAUGCUUAGCUCACGCGCUGCUGCCGCCGCCUGCUUCUCCACUGUCGGCCUCACACAGGGGAAACCCGCGGACACCGCGGUGCAGUGUGGGAAACAAAGACAUAAUAACGACACGGAGAAUGUGGAGGCCUACAAGGUACCAACGACCUGCAUCACAAUUUCUCUCAAGCAAAUGUGCUUUGGUCAACUUUCAGCACCCGAGCCACUGAUUCCAGACCGCUAAUUCUCCCACCGUGAAGCUAGGUGAGCACAGAGCUAAAGCUAACAUCAAACUGCUUGCAAUGUCAAGCCUGAGCCAGGCAAGGAAAGCAGAAUUAGCUUUAAACCCUGCUUAAUAAAAAAAAAAAAAAGUGAGGGGAGCCGAUAUAGUACUUUGCCAAAUAUUAAAGUCUAAAAUAUGCAUCUAGAAAUUGCAUCUUAACAAAGGAAGAGUGACUUGUUGGCAGAGUUCUGCCUGUUCUGACCCAUAUCACUCCGCCUCAUUACAUCUUCUCUUCCCCAUUGGACCUCUAUAUAGCCCCCUUAAAUCAUAGUGAAUAUGUCAUUAACUUCUCAUCUAAUCACAGAUCCCUCCACGCUGAGGGCAAAUGGACAGUGUUCUGCACCUUCAUCCUGGAGUAACACUCUUCAUCACUGAGCCUGUCAACAAAGCCCACAGAAAACAGAAAAAGGAAAUAAUGUAAAACUUUAUUUUAUGCCAACAUUUGUACAGAUAAGCUUUUUUCUGCCACUGUCACAGAUUUGAUUUCAUCCUCACUGACAGCCUGGUGGACCUGUUAACUUCUCAUUCAUUGUUGUCAUAUAUCUGAGUACAUCCAACUUAUUGCUUUCCACUCACAGACCAAACCUAAGAGAAAAGAACAUAAUAUUAAGAAAGAAUAAAAAACAUAAUCAUAAUCACCAUAAAGUAUCUUGGGGCAUACAGGAUGGUGGCUUCAAGUGUCAAACAUGUUUUGUCUCUGAUCAGGUAAAGAAUGUUGCACACCAUUUUACAUUUGUUUUAACACAUUUUGAAAUAUUGUCCAAAAACAUGGCAGAUAGGUGUAAACAUUACUACAGUGGUCAAAAUUAGGUAGUUAACAAAAAAAAACCCAAAUAAAAAGCAACAUUAAAUAUCUAUUGAGAAACAUUUCUAUUAUCACUAGUCACCUCUUUUACUCAAAAUACAUGAUUCAAAAAAAAAAAAAAUAUUUACAUGGUAUU